Molecule: long non-coding RNA, 389 nt
Organism: Pipra filicauda (Wire-tailed manakin)
Lineage: Eukaryota; Metazoa; Chordata; Aves; Passeriformes; Pipridae
Exons: 3
Source: RefSeq, a predicted model, not a curated record
CAGGAAUGGUCAUUUUUCCUCUCCAAAGCAAGGUUUCCUCCACGCUGGUUUAGCUGUACCUGGUUCAUUCUACCUGUGGAACUGAACCCCUGAGAAAUGUAUUUUAGACCAGUAUGAAGAAUUUCCUACACGUUCAUAUGAGUACAGAGACCUUGAGAGCAGAGCAUGAGCUUCCCCACCAGGAGGGAACACAACCCCUUGGAUGGCUCAGCCUCACACACAGCCCUGGGGAAAUGUGAAGGGGAGGACUCAGCAAAAGCAAAGGGUUCACUAAUGUGAAAUCCCAGCAAGAGGAAACACAUGCCCUUGAAAAAGAGGUGGAGGAGGUGCUGCAGUGGUAACUGGUGCAGAGAAACAACAGGAUCCACUCUGAUUUCACACUGGGAAAG